GUUACCCAGAAGGCCUCGCACGGCCGCUGCCGAAACUGGGAUUUUCCGUUUAUCCUUUUCGCCCGCAAUUGGCGGAACCUGUUGGUGUGGCCCACAAGGCUCAGCGGGGCUGCACGAGGCUAGUUGCUAAGCAAGGGUGACGGUAGUCAACUGUCACCUGGGCCACGGCGACAGGAACUCUCGGAUUUGUUGCUACCCCACGGUCCCCGCCAUGCCUCAUAUCGACAGUGACAUCAAACUGGACUUCAAGGAUGUCUUGUUGAGGCCCAAACGCAGUACCCUUAAAUCUCGAAGUGAGGUGGAGCUCACAAGAUCCUUUUCAUUUCGGAACUCAAAGCAGAUGUACACUGGGAUCCCCAUCAUUGCUGCCAAUAUGGAUACUGUGGGCACCUUUGAAAUGGCCAAGGUUAUCUGUAAGGUUAUUGUUCACUUUGAAAACAGAAUAUGCUGCUCCUGUCAGUAAUAUUACCCUGCCUCUACACUUGUAGCUGAGAAGGUAGUUACUCUGGGCACUCAAAGAACAUAUGCAUUCUUCUGGUUAAUCCAUGUAGCCCUGGUUGAUGGAUUCUGCUGCUGCUUGUGGCUCUGUUAGUCUUAAAGACUUCAUCUCCCUUUCUCUUCUUUCGAUUGCUGUAAGUCUUUGUGGAAUGUCUGUUGUCAACUUCUCUAAGGUUGAUAGUUAAACAGUUUUAGUACUUUAUUGCUGUUGCCAUUCACUAACUGCUUAGGAAUCUUCUUGUUGCCCACUGUCCACCUGCUCUGCCCAGUAGAGUUAAGGAAUAGUGUAUCUGACUUUAGCAUUAACAAACAUGCUAGAAUAGUGGCCCUUGUGGGGACUGUCCUAAUGCUUUAUGUUGAGACUGGUUUUUCAGUACUGCUGAUGAGUGCUAAAGAGAUCAGAUUUUAGAGAUAGAGCCAAGUUUCACAGUAAUAAUAAAGUUGGGAUACAAGCAUCUUUUUCUAGAUCUCUAGCUUGGUAUGUAAUUGGAUGUGCUUAUCACAUCACACUAUACCAGCAUAUCUCCAAGGUCUACUGACCUCAUGGAAUGAUUUUUGUGUAUUAGCACAUUGAUGGCAGAGUGUUGCUGAGGACGUAGAGCUCAAUACCAGCUUUAGCUAGGUAGUGUUGAUGAGUGAGUAUAGCAAUAGCACCUCCUUACUGCUGGCUGAUACAUGACUUCUUUGGACUUUUUUUUUUUU
Molecule: non-coding RNA, 1200 nt
Organism: Leptonychotes weddellii (Weddell seal)
Lineage: Eukaryota; Metazoa; Chordata; Mammalia; Carnivora; Phocidae
Source: RefSeq, a predicted model, not a curated record